Long non-coding RNA from Monodelphis domestica (gray short-tailed opossum), 450 nucleotides. RefSeq lists it as uncharacterized. Lineage: Eukaryota; Metazoa; Chordata; Mammalia; Didelphimorphia; Didelphidae. The record is from RefSeq and is a predicted model, not a curated record.
AGCAGAAGAAAAUGAGUUUCAGAAAUGUCAGAAAUUCCCAGGAUCACAUCACUAACAAGUAUGGAACAGUUGGAGUUUGAGGUGAUCAAAAGAGAAAAAGGACAAGAAACACAGGAUCACUAACAAAAAAGGAAGAGCCCAAACAGAAGACUUUGCAUUAGAUCCUGGAAAUUAUUGCCAAGAAGGAAUGUGGCUUGAUGGAAGAAAAUCAAUCAAAGAUAUUCCAACUAAGUGUGAAAUAGCUUUGGUCAAUUUAUGUGCUUCUGAUCAGUUCCUGGAUGAACCAGAAUGAAGUUACACAGGAAAGAUAUUUGGAUUGGCUGAGAAACCUUGCCCACAAAGGGAAGAAAAGGAUUCCCAACAACCAGCAGCUGUGAGUUCCCCUUCUGACAUAUUGCUCUCUUAGUUUGAACCCAUUAGUCCCUAGACUCUGGCUAUCUUCAUGGGACA